AAACAAACAAAGAAAAAACUAGCUACAUGGUGAGUGAGAUGAUUGCUAGAGCUGGAAAGCAUUGCAAAGAAGGCGAGUUCAUCAAAAAGUGCAUGUUACUAGCUGCAAGUAAAGUAAAGAAACC
Sphaeramia orbicularis (orbiculate cardinalfish) is the source of this 124-nucleotide long non-coding RNA. RefSeq lists it as uncharacterized. Lineage: Eukaryota; Metazoa; Chordata; Actinopteri; Kurtiformes; Apogonidae. The record is from RefSeq and is a predicted model, not a curated record. The transcript is spliced from 3 exons.